This is a non-coding RNA of Vicugna pacos (alpaca), 670 nucleotides long. The record is from RefSeq and is a predicted model, not a curated record. Lineage: Eukaryota; Metazoa; Chordata; Mammalia; Artiodactyla; Camelidae.
UUCGGCCUGGAUCCGGGCUUGGAGGGUAAAAAUAAAGUGUUUCCCUCUGCAGCCAAUCCCAGGGAAGGCAGGAGGGCGCUUCUCCAGUGAGAGCCUGGAGCCGUCCGUAGCGGUGGCGGCCUGCGACCCCACUCGCGCUCCGGCAGACGGGAGGGACGCGUCCAGUGCAUUUCGCGACAUCCAGCUGUCAGCGCUUGGAAUCUGCUUGCGCGCGGCAGCGGCGGCGCCGACGGCCGAAGGUGCCCGGUCAGCGGGUUGCGGAGGAUCGUGCGGGUAGCAAAGGGAGGGCGAGUGCUCCAGGGGCCCCAGAAGACAACCAGUUGGCUGGGAUGGAGAUGGCAGUAUGGUGACCAUGUUUUGAAGAUGGCAGACCGUCUAGACAGAAGACUCAGCAGCUAUUCUGAGGGAUAUGGCAACCUUUGGGAGGAUGUAGCAGCAAGAUGGUGUCUCCACAGUAGAAAAUGACUUUGAGGUGAAAAGUUAAGGAGAACCUGGCAGAACUCGCUUUCAGAACCCAGAGCUCCCUGGCCUAGUGCUCCCAUCGGCACUGCAGCUGCUCCACCGACAGGUGAUAGAGACACUGUUCUACCCUUCGGAAGAGAAAUGCACUUCAGAAACAUGUUUCCAAAAAAUGUUGCUAAGGGUUUUAUUUCUAACAAGAGGAAAAUAA